GAGGCAGCAGUGGGGAAUAUUGCACAAUGGGGGAAACCCUGAUGCAGCGACGCCGCGUGAGUGAAGAAGCGUUUCGGCGCGUAAAGCUCUGUCAGCGGGGAAGAAACACGGUUCGCGAGAGCCGCGGACGGUACCCGACCAAGAAGCCCCGGCUAACUACGUGCCAGCAGCCGCGGUAAUACGUAGGGGGCAAGCGUUAUCCGGAUUCACUGGGUGUAAAGGGAGCGUAGACGGCGAGACAAGUCUGGAGUGAAAGGCCGGGGCCCAACCCCGGGACUGCUCUGGAAACUGCCUGGCUGGAGUACAGGAGAGGUAAGUGGAAUUCCUAGUGUAGCGGUGAAAUGCGUAGAUAUUAGGAGGAACACCAGUGGCGAAGGCGGCUUACUGGACUGUAACUGACGUUGAGGCUCGAAAGCGUGGGGAGCAAACAGGAUUAGAUACCCUGGUAGUCCACGCCGUACACGAUGAUCACUAGGUGUCGGGGGUUAGAAGGCCCCCG
Molecule: ribosomal RNA, 499 nt
Filed under: uncultured bacterium
Lineage: Bacteria
Description: bacterial SSU rRNA
Rfam family: Bacterial small subunit ribosomal RNA
Source: RNAcentral